GGGAGAGAGACAAAGAGAGAGAGAGAGAGGUUUUGAAAGCAUUGAUAUGGAGUCUACAUAUUCACCCUGACCCCCAUUCCCUGUUAUCAUGGAAGCAUGCUGCCCUCCAAGGCUUUUGAAUUUGCCACUGUGAAGAGCAUGCAUGGAAUCUUCCACUGUGGCCUUGCAUUGCCUCCUGUCUUCGUAGCGGAGCUUCUUUAUCUGACCCGUGCGUGUGCCUCUGAUGAGCAGCCCUUCAUCGCAGCUCUGCGGCCUCCUCCUAGGCCCCUGCCUUCAGCUCUCCAGUUCAUUUCAUUGCCACCCGUGGGCUUGGAGGGCCACCUGACGCUCUCUCCCUUGGGUCCUCUGUGACUCCAGAGCUCCUCCCCUUCUGGGGCGCCCACAUCUGUGACACACUUGUUUGCCCAGUGCAUUUUCUGCACUUAGAGUUCCUCUCGUGCUCUCGUAUUUCCAUUUAAAGCCCUCUCGAGAGGUCUGUCUCCUGCCAGCAGCAUUCCUUCUAGUUUACUAGAACUCCAUUUCUUAUCCUGCCGGGAAUCCAGCCAUGGAGUGAGCUUCAGCACAGCCUCUCUGCAGUCUCUUGUCUCCUCCAAAAUUGUGGCCUCUGGUUGUGAGCAGUGGGCAUCCUGAGUCAGUGAGAGCAGUAGUUAGCUUGCAGCAGCUUCUCCUCUCCCCCUAAGUGAGCCUUUCUUCCUCUUCCUCCUCUUUCAGCCUCAUCCUGUCUUGGGUCCAUUUGACAGAUAAUGGCACCUUCAGGCCUCGUCUUUUGUGUGGCAUCUGUGCCUGACUGGUCAGAAAUUACUUGUGAAGCAACAUAGGGGGUUGUUGGUUGGGUCCACUUUUAGGAUGAAGUCAGAAGGGCUCGCGAGUGAUGCUUGGCCAAUAAGAAUGUAUUGAUUUGAUUUACUAAUUAAUUUCAUUUCCAGACACCAAUAUAUGCAUAGCCUUGUUUGAAGAAAAUGAAGGAGAACCAUUUUGUAAAUGGCAAUGAGUGUAAGACACUUACAUAUCUUCCUGCUCUUCCUGGCGCAGGCUUCUGCGCUCCCUGACUCUGCUUUUGUUAAAGGUGUCUGGGAAGGCAUCUGUCCUUUG
Molecule: RNA transcript, 1092 nt
Organism: Cercocebus atys (sooty mangabey)
Lineage: Eukaryota; Metazoa; Chordata; Mammalia; Primates; Cercopithecidae
Exons: 1
Source: RefSeq, a predicted model, not a curated record